This 502-nucleotide ribosomal RNA is filed under the name uncultured bacterium. Its description in RNAcentral is "bacterial SSU rRNA". It matches the Rfam family "Bacterial small subunit ribosomal RNA", at positions 15 to 507 of the family's 1533-position model. The record is from RNAcentral.
GAUCAUGGCUCAGGAUGAACGCUAGCUACAGGCUUAACACAUGCAAGUCGAGGGAAACGACAUCGAAAGCUUGCUUUUGAUGGGCGUCGACCGGCGCACGGGUGAGUAACGCGUAUCCAACCUGCCCAUCACUUGGGGAUAACCCGUCGAAAGGCGGCCUAACACGAUAUGCGGUUCUCAGCAGGCAUCUAACGAGAACGAAAUGUGAAGGAGAAGGAUGGGGAUGCGUCUGAUUAGCUUGUUGGCGGGGUAACGGCCCACCAAGGCGACGAUCAGUAGGGGUUCUGAGAGGAAGGUCCCCCACAUUGGAACUGAGACACGGUCCAAACUCCUACGGGAGGCAGCAGUGAGGAAUAUUGGUCAAUGGACGGGAGUCUGAACCAGCCAAGUAGCGUGCAGGACGACGGCCCUAUGGGUUGUAAACUGCUUUUAUAGGGGGAUAAAGUGUGCCACGUGUGGCAUAUUGCAGGUACCCUAUGAAUAAGGACCGGCUAAUUCCGUG